This 406-nucleotide ribosomal RNA is filed under the name uncultured bacterium. RNAcentral's name for it is "partial 16S ribosomal RNA". It matches the Rfam family "Bacterial small subunit ribosomal RNA", at positions 30 to 526 of the family's 1533-position model. The record is from RNAcentral.
AUUGAACGCUGGCGGCAGGCCUAACACAUGCAAGUCGCACGAGUGGCGGACGGGUGAGUAAUGUCUGGGAAACUGCCUGAUGGAGGGGGAUAACUACUGGAAACGGUAGCUAAUACCGCAUACCAUCAGAUGUGCCCAGCUGGGAUUAGCUAGUUGGUGUGGUAACGGCUCACAAAGGCGACGAUCCCUAUCUGGUCUGAGAGGAUGACCAGACACACGGGAACGGCGACACGGUCCAGACUCCUACGGGAGGCAGCAGUGGGGAAUAUUGCACAAUGGGCGCAAGCCUGAUGCAGCCAGGCCGAGUGUAUGAAGAAGGCCUUCGGGUUGUAAAGUACUUUCAGCGGGGAGGCGUUACCCGCAGAAGAAGCACCGGCUAACUCCGUGCCAGCAGCCGCGGUAAUUC